CCCGGGAAGAGAGAGACUCCCUUCCUCAUGCCUUCUUUCGCUCCCACCCCCUGGACGCCACUUCUUACAAAGCCCAGAAGGAGCUCUGUGAGGGUCCGUUUGAAAGCCUUCUGCCUCAGGGAUGGUCCGGCAUUCAUCUAUAUCUGGAAGAGCCACGGAAGAGGGAAAGCCUUAGUGUCUUCUUGGCCUUGGUAUGCAUGGUGCAUAUAUAAGCAGAGCUUUGUAUCAGAGCAGCAGGAAGGGCCCCAGAACACUCUUCACCAGCACCUGCUCCCAACCACCAAGGACAGUCCGUGGCUCGUGGCAGGGAAGGAUGUGCCACGGCCUCAUACCUAAACACUGUCCUGAUGAGCGAUCCAAAUCAAAGCCAUUCGUGCACUGUUGCUGCAGGAAAGGGGGAAAAGAAAGAGGUACCCCAACAUCUGCCCCACCGUCCAUCAUCAGAUUCAAAUGGGAUCACAACUGUCAAACCAACUUCACAAAAUCUUAUAUAAAUGCAGGAGGCUUCACCUGCUAGAUGGGACUUCCUGGCUCCCAUGAAGCUGUUUCCUCACUGCCUGCCAGUAACACUCAGGAGGAGCACGUGAUGAGUUUUACGGUUGACCUGCUGACCUAUGGAUGUGAACCCUGGCCAGCCCAUCUGGAAGUGCUCUGAGGAUUGUUCUGUUCUAAAAUGCCAAACCUAAAGCUGCAUUUGAAGUUGGUUUGGAGUGAGAAAUUAUUGACAGCAAAAGGAUGACUAAGGUUUCAUUUCAAAUGAGACUAUUUGGAAUCUGUAAUAAAACAAUAGUCUUGAAACACAGGCUUUGCUGGCGAAAGUUUUUCUAAGGUCAGAAGGUAGAGAAGAUUUAUGAUCUAUCAGAGCAACUUUUCUGUGCCCAGGAAAAUAAAUUUGGGGCAAAGUCAGGAACUAAAGAGGAUCAGGGAGGGUGAAAGUAGGGUAAUUAAAGUUCUCUAUUAAUACCAAGUUUUUUUAAUUCUGAAGAAAAUAUGGUGUAGUUUUAAGAUUGAUAAAUAUGCUAAUGAGUAUGUUUGUGUUUAAUAUCUUUUUCUGUAUUCUUUGGAUAUACUUUCCCUUAGUUCCUUGUAUUUAUAAUCACUGCUUUAAAGUCUUUGUGUUCUAAAUCCAUCAUCUAGGCCCACGCAAUCAGUUUCUAUUGAUGGCUUUUUCUCUGAAUAUGGGUCACACUUUCUUCUUUGCCUUACUAAUUUGUGGUUGAAAACUGGACAGUUAGAUAAUUUUGCAGCAACUACUGACUCUAAUAUAUUUUUCUGAUUUUUUGGUUUGAUAGGAUUCAAACAGCGAAUCUGUCUCCCCCAUGGAGGAGUGCAACUGAUGUCUCGGCUCAGUUUUUCAUUCUUGUCUUUUAGUCUGCCUUCCUAGGGGUUGCCCCUGUGUCUGCAUAGCUUAGUGGUCAGCAGAGGCUGUGCUCGAACACCUCGAGCCCAGUAGCUUCCGUCUAGUGCCGAUGAAUCUGUGCGUGGGUUGGGAAGGUCAUUCAAAGCUCGGCCAGACUCAAAUCAGCCUUGUACUUCCCACUGGGCUCUCGUGGGUCUCCACUGCGCACAUGAGGUCUCCCAGCAGUCAGGGAUGUGUGAAGAGCUUAGUUAGCCCUUCUUGGCUCUCUCGGAUCCAGGGUCUCUACAUUCAAUUUCCAGCUGAUUUGCCACUUGCGCCAUCUGCAAUUGAAAUCUCAGGCUAGCAAAGCUGAGCUUUCUCCAUUUGUUUCCUACCAAGUUCUCCACUUUUAACUGACAAAGUCCAUGGAAUUCACCCCCUUGGGCAGCAUAGCUGCUGGUUUUGGUGGUCAGCUCUGGGCUAGAAAAAUUGGGGUGGGGGUUGGGGUCCACAGUCCCAGGCAGGAAAGCCACAGACUCCCUUGGUUCUUACCUGAAGUUCUACAAGUUUUUCAAAAAUAAAUGAUUCUCAAGUUGUUGUCUGCCUUCGGUCAAUUUCCAG
This is a long non-coding RNA of Choloepus didactylus (southern two-toed sloth), 1960 nucleotides long. RefSeq lists it as uncharacterized. The transcript is spliced from 5 exons. The record is from RefSeq and is a predicted model, not a curated record. Lineage: Eukaryota; Metazoa; Chordata; Mammalia; Pilosa; Megalonychidae.